RNAcentral lists this ribosomal RNA (254 nucleotides) under uncultured bacterium. Its description in RNAcentral is "partial 16S ribosomal RNA". It matches the Rfam family "Bacterial small subunit ribosomal RNA", at positions 524 to 776 of the family's 1533-position model. The record is from RNAcentral.
UACGGGGGGAGCAAGCGUUGUUCGGAUUUACUGGGCGUAAAGGGCGCGUAGGCGGCCACCGCAAGUCAGUUGUGAAAGCUCUGGGCUUAACCCAGAAAGGUCAGCUGAUACUGCGGGGCUAGAGUGCAGAAGGGGCAACUGGAAUUCUCGGUGUAGCGGUGAAAUGCGUAGAUAUCGGGAGGAACACCAGUGGCGAAGGCGACUACCUGGCCUGUUCUUGACGCUGAGGCGCGAAAGCUAGGGGAGCAAACGGG